GCUUAUUAUGACAUGGUGACUGACAGUGAUAUGGUGACUGAGUGUGUGGGGGGAGGGGUGGUGAUGUGACAGGAUGACUGUGUCGGUAGGUGAUGUGACUAGGUGACUGAGUGUGUGUUGAGGAGGGCUGAUGUGACAGAGUAACUGAGUGUGUAGGUGAGUGGUGUGACUGAGACAGGGAGUACAUUGCAUGUGGGGGAGGGGUGAUGGGACAGGGUGACUGAGUUUGUGGGGGAGGGGUGAUGUGACAGGGUGACUGAGUGUGUGGGGAGGGGUGAGACUGUGACACAGUUACUGAGUGAAGGGGUGAUAUGACAGGGUUCUGCUAAGGCUGCUUGGAGUAGAGAGCUGACAUUUCAGCUGUGAGAAGGUCAUAGUGUGGCAGCUGUGAGUGUUGUUGCACUGUGACUUUCAGAAGUAACUAUAGGCAUA
Molecule: non-coding RNA, 432 nt
Organism: Pelobates cultripes (western spadefoot toad)
Lineage: Eukaryota; Metazoa; Chordata; Amphibia; Anura; Pelobatidae
Source: the annotation of a GenBank genome assembly